AUGCUUGCACUCAGUGUGAGCGCUGUCACAGUUAAAUGUCUGUGUGCACUUACCAAAACUACAGCCAUUUCAAUGACACAUUUAAUUUUCCUGAGACUGAGGGAUUUGCUGCAGUGCAGAGAGGAGCCCGUUUGUUUGCUGGCAGGUUUUGACAUCGCUGGAUGCCAGCAAAGCUGAGGAAACUC
RNAcentral lists this long non-coding RNA (185 nucleotides) under Cyanistes caeruleus (blue tit). RNAcentral describes it as "lncRNA (ENSCCEG00000008459.1)". The record is from RNAcentral. Lineage: Eukaryota; Metazoa; Chordata; Aves; Passeriformes; Paridae.